RNAcentral lists this long non-coding RNA (3533 nucleotides) under Homo sapiens (human). RNAcentral's name for it is "HSALNT0300359". The record is from RNAcentral. Lineage: Eukaryota; Metazoa; Chordata; Mammalia; Primates; Hominidae.
AUCGUGCCAUUGCACUCCAGCCUGGGCAACAAGAGUGAAACUGCGUCUCAAAAAAAAAAAAAAAAGUUUGUUGUCCUGGCAGCUGGUGAGAGCAUACCUGUAUUUUAUAAUUUUUCACUUGACCACCUUCUCUGGUUCAAGUCAUCAUUUUGUACAAUUUUAGCAAACUUAGCAAAGUCUGGUGCUGCAACCAGAGUCUGCCCUGUGCUUUUGGAAAUAAUGGAAAAAAUAAGCAGUUGUGGCAGAAAUUUGAAAAGUAAGGGUUUUUUGUUCCUUUUUUUUCUUCUUUUUUUUUCGUUUCUUCGAGCCUCUGGGCACUUUGAAAUAUUCUCAAAAUAGGGAAAAAUUGUAUACAUAUUUGGAAUAUUCAUGUUUUUAGUUAGACCCUCCUUUAUAGCACCAUCCAUUCUGCCUUACGUAUUUGGCAUUGAUGUAGUUUUAAAAAUAAAUUUGAUGUUGACUUGUAAGUAUUAAAAUUUAAUCUACUUCCUUCCGGGGCCAUAAUUCUCUACUUUGUUGUCCUUGGUUACCUUGGCAAUCCCAUUGCUGUCAUAAGCACAGGGUUCUAACUGCAGGGGUGGGGUGAGCAUCUGGGCCUGCAGGCUCCCAGGGGCCCUGCCGUCCAUGGGACCAGACCCCUCCUAGCAGCAACAGUGGGAACCAGGGCUACGUGCUUUUUGGCAAGAAUGUGAUUCUGAAUGUUAGCCCUUUGUGACUUGUUUGAAAAACAGUUCCUCCAAGUCCCCAGAACAGAUUAUUGCUGUCUUCAGAAGGACAUCACCUUCUUGCCCAGAGCAUUCAUGUUUUUGGAAGCUCAAGAGUAGAAGUACUGAUGCCACUCCUCACGGGUUCCAGGUCCUGCCAUGCACUCAGGAUUCCUGAGUCCUUCAGUGUGCUGGGCUGUGUGUGAGGUGGCAGGAAUAGAACACCAAGAAGAAUAUGUCCUCUCUUUGGAGGGACCUACAGUCCAGCAAGAGGAACAGAAUCCUGUAAACAAAUCAGUGCAGUAAAAUCUGAGGACCACAUCUGUAGGAAUGCUUGGAGUCCUGUGGAUGUGCAAGGGUGCAGGUGGUCCCAGGGCGUGGGGCUGUGGUGAGGGAGGGCCUUAUAUGAUGUCGUACCGUUGAGUCUUGAAGUCCAGGCAGUUACCUGUGGGUUACCAAAUGCUAAGGCACUAAGCUGGUUCAUUCUGGUCUUCUGUACCUGCCUCCCUGCCUUAGGUAAAUAUUGAUCUACUCCUGAGGUGGUGGCCAGCUCGGCGUCUGCGGUAGGAUUUUCACAGUCACCUGGUCUCUAGAGGGCUGCUCAGACCAAGAAUUUGGGGUGAUCCUCAAUUCUUCCCAUGCACCCCACGUUUCCAGGCACCGGUGCCUUCCUUUGUGGAGCAUAUACAUGCAUUCCAGGCCCGCACUGUCUGAUGAGGCAGCCUAAGACAAAUCCAGCUCUCAGCCGCCACAUUGCAAGUACUCAGUAGCCACACGUGGCUGGUGGCUACCAUAUUGGCUCAGCAACCACCGGGAGAGCCAUCACCUGGAAACUUGCUGAAAUGCAGAGCCCCGGGUUCCACCCAGGACAAUUUUUACAGCAUCUCCACGUACACCACAGGCACGUGAGAGCUUGCGAAGCACUGUUCGAGACGGAACCCCGGCUGCACACUGGAGUUGCUUGGGCGUUUGUGAAGCAGAGCUGCCUGGCUCCACUCCCUAAAAUUCUGACUUAAAUUAGUCUGGGUGGGGCUUCGAGCCUUGGCAUUUUUUAAAGCCUCCUCCCAAAUAGGGUUGAUAAUCACUGAUAAACAGACAGUUACGUAACAACCUUAGGCAGUUGAUACGUGCUGUAAAGGAAAGUCAUGCAUAACAUGGGGAUAGAAAGUGGUUCUGGAGAUCAGGAAACCGAAAUCAGGAAAAGCCUCUCUGCAGAGGUGACAUUUGAGCAGGCUGGAAUGCAGAGAGGAAGCCAGCCACAGAAGAUGUGGGAAUAGAACAGCUUGGGAAAAGGCCCUGAAAUGCCAAUGGGCGGGAUCAUGGAAGGACUGAAGGAAGGUCAGGGUGUGUGGGGAGGAGUGGGCGAGGAAGAGAAGGAUGAGAGACGGGCAGAGGGGUGGGCAGUGCCAGGUCACAGAGGGCCUUGUCCAUCUUGGGGAAGGAAUUUGGAUUUUGUUCUAGUGUGAUGGGAAGCUGUUGAAGGGUUUUGAGCAGGGAAUAACAUGGUCCGAUAUCCAUUUUAAAGACUUCACUGUGGUUCUAGGGAAAACAGACUAGCAGGGCAUGAAAGGAAAGAGGGAGACCAGUUGUGGGGUGAGGGGCUAUUGCAGUCAUCUAGGCAAGAGGUCUUGGAUGAGGAGGUAGCAGGGGGGGUGGUGGUAAGUGGCCUGAUUGAGGUCCAUUGUACAAGAAGAGGGGUCCAAACCUACUGAUGGAUUGUCAUUAUUGUGUGCUAGUGGCAUAGAGGUAGACCCAAUAGAACUCCUGCCCCAAACAGGGCAACAGCCAAGCUCAGUUCAUCCAAGCCCCCUGAACAGACCUUCCAGCAUCCCCAUGGUGAAGCUGUUGCUGUCUAGAGCUACUUAGUGUCAGAAUCCAGGCCAGCUCUGUGCUGCUUGAUGUGACUGGUUAUAGGACUUGUGUUGGGACCAGUUCCAGGGUCAAUCAAGGAAAGAUUGAAGCAUAGCUGCAUAGACUGGGGCCCAGGGAAAGAGAGAAGCAUGGCUGCAUAGACUGAGACUGAGGGAUCUGCUCAUGCGACCCUCUGCUGUUUCUAUGCAGACUACAGCAGGUGAUACUUAUGGGCAUUGUCAGAUGCCUGGGAUGCUAUCCCCAUUUCAGCUCCCCAAACACUCCUCUUUCUUUCCCUACUAAAGAGAGGUGACGUUCCGUGAUAUGAACCUACCUCCUUUGCUUACGCCUUUUCUGUGUAAUGUGGCCUCCAAGUGGAUUGCUAGGGCCCUUCCAGGUACUUUUUUUCUUUUCUUUUUCUUUUUUAUUUUGUUUGAGGUGGAGUCUUGCUCGGUUACCCAGGCUGGAGUGCAGUGGUGCGAUCUCGGUUCACUGCAACCUCUGCCUCUCGAGUUCAAGGGGGAUUCUCCUGCCUCAGCCUCCUGAGCAGCUGGGAUUACAGGUGACUGCCACCAUGCCCGGCUGAUUUUUGUAUUACUAGUAGAGAUGGGGUUUCACCAUGUUGGCCAGGCUGGUCUUGAACUCCUGACCUCAGGUGAUCCGCCCACCUCGGCCUCACAAAGUGCUGGGAUUAUAGGCGUGAGCCGCUGCGCCCGGCUGCCUUUCCAGGUGCUUUUAUACCAUUAUCGUUUUUAUCAUGUCAACAAUGUCUUGGAAUAAACAGACUACCAACCCGAGCUGGAAUACUUGGGCUGUAUUUUUAUGAUGAUGGUCAUUUCUAUGAAGGGAUUUGACUGAUUUAGUUUCUUCACUCAUAAAUGUAUAUUGGGCCCCUACCGUAUGUUGUCACUGCCAGGUGCCAGGGAUGUAAAAGUGGACAGGAUGGCCUGGACGUCUAAAAAAAAAAAAAAAAAAAAA